CCAUAUGCCACAGGAGCAGCUCUAGAAAAGGCAAAAAGACCCCCCCCCAAAAAAAAAAAAAAAGUAACCCAUUCAUAAUUUGAGCUUUUUAACUAUUGUUAUUUUUGUCAUUCCUUCAACAUUUGAAAUACUAAUCAUGGAUGCUAUGUAGACCUAGGAGUAGGUAAGAACUGAAGACUAGAAGACACUUCUCAUAGGUAGCAGUGCUUUCCCAAAUUGUGAAUAAGAGCUAUCAUUCAUGGAGCCCUUACUCUAAUCAGCAUUGUGCUCAGCAUUAUUACAUCAUUAUAUCAUCGAAUCCUCAUGACAGUUUGGUGUUAUUACCCCCAUUUUACAGAUUAGUAAACAGAGGUUUGGAGAAGUUAGCUAAUUUGCCCAAGGUCACAAAGCAGAGUCAGAAUCCAAAGCUUUAAUCCAAAGCUUAUGCUUUUCAUAUACCACACUGCUUCUGUUUGGCGAAUCAGUGAGGGAAACAACAGUAGUUUACCUUUAGAAUAGUCUCAUAGGGUAGAACUGUAUAAGGUUGAGGUUGUUCUUGUGAGAAGAAUAUAAAUCCUUUUAUUAAUUAGAAUGUGACAUCUGGAGUUCCCGUUGUGGCUUAACAGGUUAAGAACCUGGCUAGUAUCCAUGAGGAUUCGGGUUUGAUCCCUGGCUUCGCUCAGUGGGUUAAGGAUCUGGCAUUGCUGCAAGCUGCAGCAUAUGUCACAGAUGUGGCUUGGAUCCGGCACUGCUGUGGCUGUGGUGUGGGCCAGCGGCUGCAGAUCUGAUUCGAUCCCUAGCCUGGGAACUUCCAUGUGCCACAGGUGUGACCCCCUCCCCCCAAAAAAAGAAUCUAAGCUCUACUCUGGACAUAUACUUUAGUGACUUAUCCCAUGUUGAAAGAUAAAGGUUUUGAAUGAAUGCAGCAGGCUUUUUAAAGAAAAAUAAAUUACUGAUUAUUUACAUAGUGUUCAUGGUUUUUUUGCUUUUGUAGGGCUACACCCUUGGCAUAUGGAAGUUCCCAGGAUAGGGGUCAAAUCAGAGCUACAGCUGCCAGCCACACCACAGCCACAGCAACUCUGGGUUUGAGCCGUGUCUGCAACCUACACCAUAGCUCAUGGCAAUGCCAGAUCCCCUACCCACUGAGCAAGGCCAAGGAUUGAACCCACAUCCUCAUGGUUUCCACUGAGCCACAACAGGAACGCCCUUUUAAAAAAAAGAAGCCUUCUAGGAGUGCCCUAGUGGCUCAGCAGGUUAAGGAUCUGAUGUUGUGGCUAUGGUUACUGCCAAUUUUACAGCAGUCAAAUUGAAUCGUGGUGUUUCUAAUUCUUAGCUUUUGCAUCCUAGUUAUAAAGUGCAUGUAAGAACAAAACAAAAUAAAACAAAAACAGAGUCUAUGAUGCAAAGAGUUUGGAAAAUGCUGCAUUUUGUAGAUUCCUCAGGGAGACCUACAAUGCAUAUUAACAUAUUAAAAGCUCUGAGAAGUCCUACAGUAAAGAAUUAUUUCCACUCAAGCAAAACUUUGUUUAACCCAGUAAAGACUUAGUUGACCAUUAUGAGUCAGGACCAGAACAGAAUACAGCACCUCUUCUCAAUACAGGGAACCUAACAUGAGAAACCAGGUUAAAACUUUUUGGAGGUAUUCAAAGUGUAAAUAGGAGGACAGUGGGACAUCUCAGAAAAGAACAAUAUGAGGGAGAUGCUACCAUUAAAGCCAUAGGACUAAGGGAAGAGCCAGUGUUGCCCAGAUGUGGCAAGAGAUUUUUGGGGCAGGUCCUCCAGCUCCAUUUGAGCCUUGCAACAACAUCUUGACUGCAAGCUCAUGAGAAACCCUGAGCCAGAACCACCUUAAGCCAGGUCUUAGAUUCCUGAUCCUCCAAAACUGUGUGAGAUAACAAAUAUUCGUGGUUUUAUUUUAUUGUCUUUUUUUUUUUUUAGGACCACACCCAAGUCAUAUAUAUGGAGAUUCCUAGGCUAGGGUUCAAAUCAGAGCUACAGCUGCCGGCCUAUGACACUGCCACAACAACACAGGAUCCGAGCCAUGUCUGUGACCUACACCACAGCUUAUGGCAACGCUGGAUCCUUAACCCACUGAGCGAGGCCAGGGAUUGAACCCACAUCCUCAUGGAUACCAGUUGGGUUUGUUAACCACUGAUACAGGACGGGAACUCCAAAUAUGUGUUGUUUUAAACUGCUACUAAGUUUUAGAAUAAUAUGGUACAGAGAAAUAGAUAACUAAAAGAGAUGUUGCUACUUGGAAGUGAGAUUCAGCCAUAACAAAUUCUAAAGUGCAGAAGUAAUUUUGCAACUGGACAGUAAACCUUGGGGACAGUAUUGGUGAAAGCCUAAAGUACCUUGAAGAAAUUGUUAGUAGAAGUAUCAUGAUCAUUGAUAUGGCUGCAAAUGAAGGCUUUCCAAAAAAAUGAGGUAAUGUUAUUGGAAACCAGAGGAAAGCCUAGCCUUAUUACACAGUGGCAGAAGAUUCACUGUUGCCUGCAGUAACCAAAAAGUAGAAAAUAAGGGUGUUUUUUUUUUUUUUUUUUUUUUUUUGUCUUUUCUAGGGCUGCAACCCACCACAUAUGGAGGUUCCCAGGCUAGGGUUCUAAUUGGUGCUGUAGCCGCCGGCCUACGCCAGAGCCACAGCAGCGCGGGAUCUGAGCCAUGUCUGCGACCUACACCGCAAUGCUGGAUCCUUAACCCACCGAGCGCCUCGCUCAGGGAUUGAACCUGCAACCUCUAGUGCCUAGUCAGAUUUGUUAACCACUGAGCCAUGAUGGGAACUCCUGUUUUGGGUUGUUUUGUUUUUUUUGUUUUUUUCAUUUUUGGCUGCCCCACAGCAUAUGGAGUUCCCAGGCCAGGGAUCAGAUCUGAGCUGCAGUUGCUAAGCCAUAGCUGCAGCAAUGCCAGAUCCUUAACCCACUGUGCCAGGCCAGGGAUCAAACCUGUGACCCAGUGCUCCCAAGAUGCCACCGAUCCCGUUGUGCCACAGCGGGAACUCUGAAGAUAUGUUUUUUUGAACUGGGUGAUCUAGCUAAGGAGACUUUCAAGCAAAGUUUUUCUUCUUGUUACUUAUAGUAAAAUGUGAAGGGAGAGAAGUAAACUAAGGGAAAAACUGUUAAACAAAAAGGAUACAGAAUUUGCUGGUGUUAAAUAUUCUCAGCUUCUCUAUAUGGCAAACAAUGCUAAAAUUACAAUGUAGCUCCUGAGCUACAAAUCCAGGGCACUGCUAGUAAAACACAGUCCAAAGAUGAAGCAAUGGGUAUGAUUGUAAAGCCUUUUGAUAAAGUCUCAGAAGGAUUUAAGGUUGUACAUCAGAAUACUAUUCGAUCAGUCAAAAGGUCCCCUAAGGAGAUUAAAGGUAUAUUUCACACAGUCUCUCAAUGAAAUGAUAAAGCAUUUAGGAAGCUUAAGGGCGUUAUCCCUCAGUCAUCACAUCAGAAGCUCCAGGUAGAGAAAAGCCUAUCUGAAUGAUAUUUAUAGGUGUGAUUUUCAUCUAAUGAAGCUGACCCCAAGAAUAGUCACAGAAGACUCACAAAAUUUUAAAAAUAAAUAUGUUUGGAGAAACAUUACCACCUUGGACCAAAAGGGGUAGAGAUAGUACACAGUGAAAAGAGGCCUUAGGACCUCAAAGUUCCAUUAGCAAGACGUAGGCCGAGUAAGCAUGGGCUAUCUUUCAUUAAAGGGGGAGGAUGACUUGGGUUAGAACCAGGACUCCAGAACAUGGAGCUGAGAGCCAGGGAGAAUUAUUUCCAGCCUUUGGAACUUAACCAGGGAACUUUCCACAUUUGUUCAGCUGAAUUUCAGAAUUACAGUGUACCAGUGACUCCUUUGUGCCUGUCAUUUUCCCUCUUUUUGAAUAGGUAACAGCAGUUACCUUGUUAUACCUGUCUCCCCAUUGUGCUUUGGGUGUAUGGAGGGCACAUAAGUUGUUGCUUUAGUUUCACAAGGGAGAGGACCUGUACUCAAGGAGCCAGACUUAAGGACCUACACCCAAGGAACUUCAACUGCACCUGGCCCUGACUUAGAUGAUGAAAUAUUGGAAUUCACACUGAUGCUGUAAUGAGACGAGACUUUUGGUGACUUUGGGAGGAAGUGAGCAGUACUUUGCAUGUGGGAGGGACAUGAAUCAUUGGAGAUCAGGAUGGAUGCGGCAGCCUCCAAGCUAGCUCUGAAUAUCUUGGCUUUAUUCACCCUUGGUAGACCUACCCAAGAACUUCACUGCACUGGCCUGAUUAGAUGAUGAAUAUUGGAAUUCACACUGAUGCUGUAAUGAGACGAGACUUUUGGUGACUUUGGGAGGAAGUGAGCAGUACUUUGCAUGUGGGAGGGACAUGAAUCAUUGGAGAUCAGAGGAUGGACUGCGGCAGCCAGCCUCCAAGCUAGCUCUUGAAUAUCCUUGGCUCCUUAUAUUCACACCCUUGGGUAGGUCCCACACUCUAUCACAGUUGGACUGUGUGACCAAUGCCAUGUCGUAGAAAUGAUGAUAAUGUUACUUCUGAGGUUAGGUUAUUAAAAAGACUACACACCUU
This 4508-nucleotide long non-coding RNA is filed under the name Sus scrofa (pig). Its description in RNAcentral is "lncRNA (ENSSSCG00000062359.1)". The record is from RNAcentral. Lineage: Eukaryota; Metazoa; Chordata; Mammalia; Artiodactyla; Suidae.